GACGAACGCUGGCGGCGUGCUUAACACAUGCAAGUCGAACGGAAAGGCCCUGCUUUUGUGGGGUGCUCGAGUGGCGAACGGGUGAGUAACACGUGAGUAACCUGCCCUUGACUUUGGGAUAAAUUCUGGAAACUGGGGCUAAUACCGGAUAGGAGCUCCUGCUGCAUGGUGGGGGUUGGAAAGUUUCGGCGGUUGGGGAUGGAAUGGCGGCUUAUCAGCUUGUUGGUGGGGUAGUGGCUGACCAAGGCUUUGAAGGCUAGCCGGCCUGAGAGGGUGACCGGCCACAUUGGGACUGCGAUACGGCCCAGACUCCUACGGGAGGCAGCAGUGGGGAAUAUUGCACAAUGGGCGGAAGCCUGAUGCAGCAACGCCGCGUGCGGGAUGACGGCCUUCGGGUUGUAAACCGCUUUCGCCUGUGACGAAGCGUGAGUGACGGUAAUGGGUAAAGAAGCACCGGCUAACUACGUG
RNAcentral lists this ribosomal RNA (468 nucleotides) under uncultured bacterium. RNAcentral describes it as "partial 16S ribosomal RNA". It matches the Rfam family "Bacterial small subunit ribosomal RNA", at positions 28 to 507 of the family's 1533-position model. The record is from RNAcentral.